RNA transcript from Portunus trituberculatus (swimming crab), 1735 nucleotides. It is a transcript of the gene named serine/arginine repetitive matrix protein 1-like, with no coding region annotated. The record is from RefSeq and is a predicted model, not a curated record. NCBI's taxonomy places the organism in Eukaryota, Metazoa, Arthropoda, Malacostraca, Decapoda, Portunidae. The transcript has 4 exons.
GGGGGCGAUGUGGGGGUGUGUGUAUAAAUGCGCUGUGUUCCUGACAGGGUUUUUUAAUGGUGUUGCAGUUGCCUGAAGUGAUGUCAGGGGCUAACACCAGCUACUACCAGGAGGCGGCGGAGCUGGCGGUGGGCUACCGCUGCUCCUGCCGGCACAGCAUGGGCGGGCCGCAGUGCAGCAUUGUCACGGUAGUGGUGGGCAGCGUGGCGCGACCAAGCACCGAGGCGGAGGCCAUGUCGGCGGGUCAGGUGGUGCUGGUGGUGGUGUUCAGCACCGCUAUGCCCGUGCUAGUGGUGGAAUUGGUGUUGGUGAUUGUGUGCAUGAAGCGGAAACGCGUACGUGACUGCCCGUGUCGGGAUGAGGAGGCGCGGCGUCAGAACGAGCAGAACAUGGUGCACAACGCUGUGGGCGCCGUCAACAGUGUCUGGACCACCACAUGAUCUACUCCCUAAACUUCCCCAUCAAGAAACCUCUCAAAACCGUGCCACCGCCUCCUCCCCUUGCAUCACCCACACCACACCCACCUCCACCACCAUCACCUCCACGACCACGACUACAAGAAUCCCGCGGAGAACGCAUACUCCGCAGUGCCCAUGCGCAGCAGCAGGACUCAACAAGGAUGUGUCGCGGCUCUCGCUGGCUGACCGCCUCGAGAAGGACAUUGAGCCCCCGCCCAGCGCCUGCGUCACGCCCACCUCGGACUCCAGCGCCCCAUGCAAGGUGUUCCGGAAUUCCUUCCUGCCGCGCACAUACAGCCACAGGAGGCGAGGAAUUCCAUAGCUGUGGACCAAAGUAAAAUAUGCUGUGCUUGAAUAACUGUGUGCGGAAUUGCGGGCACUCCAAAUUCAAGUUCCCACCUCUUGUUGCAUACGGUGAAUCUACACAUUUAAAGGAGUUAUGGGUGGCAGGAGGUUGAUGAAAUGUGUGGUGGUGUCACAAGUGAAGCACAGUGAGCGUUCCUGCAGGGUGAAGCAAUGAUGAGACCAGCGUCACCAGUCAGCGAGGCCGAAAUCAAGCGACCGCCGGCAGAGAGGAGUCUUCUCCUGGACGUUUGAAGAGUACCACCUUCUUGAAGCACAGAGCACAGACAGCGCUGGAAACUGGACUACUACAGUUUGAGCAGAGUCCAACAUCUGUGUAUCUGCACCAGAAUCAAGUGUCCAGGGAGGAAAUGAUACGUCUGCAGAGAUGUGCCAGGAGGAGGGACUCUUGGAACAGGCCUUCACACAACAGGGAUUGGGGUGGGGGUGGGGGGACCUUAUAGCAGCAGGUGACUAGGAGAGAGGUUCCCCACAAGAUGCAACACACCACAUCCUCCAAACGCAAAAUAUAUUUGCCAAUAAAGGCAAGUUUGUGUGCCACUCUGUUGAUUUGAAGCAGCAAAACGUGCGGGUAUGACACCGUGUUGUAAUCAAUUGUAUAGUAUUGUCUAGUAAUCAACGUUUUUAUUACUACCAUUAUUAUUAUCUUGGUGUCACUCUAACUGUCACGUCGACUUCACAUCUCGUGUGUUAGUAAUAUUUUUACAAUUAAUUCUCAACACUUACUAUUGUUAUUGGUAAUAGUGUAUUAUUGUGUGAUCAAUAUUAGCAUUACUAUCAUUGCCCUACUGUUACUAUUGUUAUCAUUACUAGUACCAAUACUACUUUUAUUACCAUUGCUUGGUAAUACUUCAUGUAAAAUUACUUCAUUGAUUCAGGAUCCUCUACAUUAUCUACUGUUUUAUACUGACAAU